GCGUCUUGGUGCUUCCUUGUUGGAAGAAAAGGGAAUCCGGUGAAAUUCCGGGGCUGUCCCCGCAGCUGUAAAGUCGUUUCCUGCCUCGAAGGUGGGCAGAUCUUUUCGGUAAAACCACUGGAUCGAAUCUGGGAAGGAGAAAAGAUGACAAGCCAGAAAACCUGCCGGACGAC
RNAcentral lists this non-coding RNA (173 nucleotides) under Butyricimonas synergistica. The record is from RNAcentral. Lineage: Bacteria; Pseudomonadati; Bacteroidota; Bacteroidia; Bacteroidales; Odoribacteraceae.